RNAcentral lists this transfer-messenger RNA (357 nucleotides) under Oscillospiraceae bacterium. It matches the Rfam family "transfer-messenger RNA". From Rfam's summary of the family: Bacterial tmRNA, also known as 10Sa RNA or SsrA, is named for its dual tRNA and mRNA-like properties. Its role is to liberate the mRNA from a stalled ribosome. To accomplish this part of the tmRNA is used as a reading frame that ends in a translation stop signal. The record is from RNAcentral. Lineage: Bacteria; Bacillati; Bacillota; Clostridia; Eubacteriales; Oscillospiraceae.
GGGGCUGUACCGGUUUCGACGGGGGCGUGGAGGCGUGAAUAGCGGGCGGAGGCGCCGACUCCUAAAACGGCAAACCUUAUAAACUAAAGAACAACGAUUACGCUGUUCCGGUAGCCGCUUAGGCUGCCCGUCCUGACCCGAAGGUCCACGAGCGGGCCAAGGGCGUCGAUUAGUGGAGAACGUGAGCGCGGUAAGCUUUGCCCGCGCCAUGCACAAUGAAGCUACCUGCCCAUAAACGCGUGACGGUUUGCGCUAUGGAAAGGAAAAUGGACGCGAGUCCGCAAUAACCGUCUGCGCCCGGAGAAGUUUGCGUCAAAGCACUUUCGGACGGGGGUUCAACUCCCCCCAGCUCCACCA